UUUAUCCUUGCUUGAAUCUUUGCCUUAUUUUGAAAUAACUAGUCAAUUAAGUGUGAGUAUUGAGCAGUGGCGGGCGGUGCGUUCCACCCCUGGGCCUUCAGUGAUUUCCUAUUCAGUCCAAUCUAAUUUAAUACACCUUAAAAUACCAUCAAUAGGACAUCACAGCUGGAGAAACCUCUCUCUCUCACACACACACACACACACACACACACACACACACACACACACACACACACACACACACACACACACACACACACCAGUGGCUGGUCAAGACACAUAAUUUCCAGAGUCUUUAAAAUCAAACUCGCAUUCCCAGUUGAGAGUAGGAAGCUGACCACGGAUACCGUCAAAUCUCAGAAAUGAAAGACGGGUUUAAGAGAUGAGACAAUAAAAUAAAUAGGUAAAGCAAACACAUUAUUUGCAUUUGUUUUGGAGAAAAUUGUACCGCGAACAUGUUGGCGCAGCUGCACACACCACGUUAUACACAAUAUAAAUUGCAUAGAAACAGAACACAGAAUAAUUUCAUUUUGCCAUUUUAUUUCGUUACCAUUUAUUGAUUAUUAACAAAAUAAAAUGACAAAACAUUAAAAAAAUACUAAUAAAAUGUUUCUACUCACCAACAUAAAUGUCCAGCAUGAAUCUCCUCCUCCUGCUCAUUUGAAAAUAAAAUCCAUCCUUCUUUCUUUCCUCAGGAAAACCUCAAUGGCUCUGUACAGUUUAUCUGUGCGCUUCAGGUCAAUGAGUGGAUCCUUUUCUAUGGACAUGGAGGCUAAUGCUGAAAGACGUGUCUGCCCGGUCGUGUUUCUGGCGUACGUUUUAACGCGCUUUAAUGCUACCAAAUCCAUCUGAUGCGAGCAACAGGCGUUCCCAGCAGAAUAACCUGCAGCGGUUCUCUGAAGCUGUUAGCCAUGGGUACCGUUCAUAGUUGCUUGCCUGACAAUGACGAACAAAUCAUUUCCCCUGCUGGGACAAGCCAGCUAGCAUUGGAGUCGGACGACCUGUUCUCACAAGAUCCAUUUUUUCUUGAAAGGUCCAUCUUGAAAAUGGUGUGGCAAGUAAAUCUGCCACCAAGUCGGUCCCUUCUCCUCUUUCAGCCAUCAUGUGUUCAAAAACACACCGAUAGCUGCCUAUAGAUACAAAUCUCUGUGUUUAGUUUUGAUAUUUUGCUUCAUGCUGCUAGAAAAGUUCUAACUACUGCUUAUCCAAUCACAGGAUGCGUUCAUGUCAACUUUUGCGUGAGGCCAGCUAGCUGGCCCGGGCCAAGCUGACUCGUGAGCUGAUUGGCUAUCGCAACUAGAUCGUCUCUGUUCACUUACAGCGGACAGUGGGCUUCUCGAUUGAUUCUGAAGGCCUAGGGCAGACUUAAUCUGCCUGAAAACACAAGCUAGCUUAAAUCUGAUUGGAUAACACCCAGCCUUGGUAUUUUAACACUGGAAGCAGCGCAGCCAAGUGGGUAUAAUAGGAUAUAAAGAAAAUAGACCAGUAAACAUUUUUUUAUUUAAAAAUAAUUACCAAAGGAAAAAAAAUACAUUUACGCUUUUGAGUAUGUUUAGGCCAGCAGAGAAGGCUUUGCUGGCCCUGACUGCCCACCACUGGUAUUGAGUGGUACUGGACUUCUGUAAAAAUAAUUUUCAUAGGGAUGAAGAAAGUACUCUGUCUGUCCUAAAUAACAUAUUGAGCAUGAAAUUACGAAUUAUUGUGAAAUUACACGCACAGGAAGUGCUUUUAUUUUGUAGCAUUUGCUCAGUCGGCUCUCGAAGCUUCUCAGCAGACUGAGAAGAGGAGGGUCGGAGGUGCAUUAACCGUUGGAGAUCGCGCUUCUGUUCUGCACUUGACAGUCACUGCUUCUGCACCACUGAGCUAAAUAGACACUAAUUGGAACAAGUGGGAACAGGUGUGGAAUGGCCACAGGUGCAAUGGAGGUAUAAAAGGAACUGAGGAGAGAGUUCAAGAGAGCAGCAGACACCUGAGACAUGCAUGAGGUCUGAGAGUGAGAGACGCCCCUGGACGGUGACGUCUCUGGCAAGGACACGAACGCCUGACCACCCGGGAACGCAGAACGGCACCUGGAGCACCGUCCCGGGAUGUGGACAAGCAACCAAGUGUGGAGGAUAGUGAGUUGCCCUCUCCUCCCCCAUGUGAGUGGUGUGAUGUUGGUGCUGGUGCCUCUGCAUCUUGUUAGGGCCUUGGGCCGAGGAGGGCGCGGCGUGUCCAAGGAGCGGAGCUGUGCCAUGGGGCUGCAGAGAGACUGGCGGUGUGCGCAGCAGCCAGCGGGCGAGAGGACGACGCUGGAGCCAUAGUGGCAGCACAGACAGGUUGCUGCAGGAGGUCGACUUUGUGCCUGUCAGCCAAAGGACAAGGUGGGGCAGACUGGGUCCCAGCUACGUGGGUCAACAUGGGUCAGCUGGAGCCAAGAGGUGGCUCCUUGUAUUGGACACUGUCCCACCCCUGGUGCUGCACAGGAUGUUUUAGACUGUUUUUAGGACUGAUUUUAUGUUUUUACUUCUUCAGCCUCUAAAGGACUUGAACUUUUAGCAGUGUUUUGCUCCUCCAAAUAAAUGACUGGUUUAGUGUUAA
This is a long non-coding RNA of Nothobranchius furzeri (turquoise killifish), 2580 nucleotides long. RefSeq lists it as uncharacterized. The record is from RefSeq and is a predicted model, not a curated record. NCBI's taxonomy places the organism in Eukaryota, Metazoa, Chordata, Actinopteri, Cyprinodontiformes, Nothobranchiidae.